CUUUAAGAAUCAUUCAAUCAAUAAAGUUGAAUUUCUCAUCGUGGAUGGCUUCUCCUCUCUUCCUUCCUCCUUUUUAUUUUUCUUUCUGCAAUGAGACGCGCCUUGAUGCUUUUGUCUUCCGAUGGCAGUGUCCUGCCACAGUGCUUCCCCUACCACGGGGGAUCCCGCUGAAGUCCACGAUCCAGCGUCUGAAGAAGGAAGUUCAUCAUUUGAUGAAGAGGUCGAAGAAGAUGGAUGGCGAACUCCGCAGGUUGAGG
RNAcentral lists this long non-coding RNA (257 nucleotides) under Elaeis guineensis (African oil palm). RNAcentral's name for it is "long non-coding RNA (EGUI_LNC042713)". The record is from RNAcentral. Lineage: Eukaryota; Viridiplantae; Streptophyta; Magnoliopsida; Arecales; Arecaceae.